Molecule: ribosomal RNA, 2927 nt
Filed under: Escherichia coli
Lineage: Bacteria; Pseudomonadati; Pseudomonadota; Gammaproteobacteria; Enterobacterales; Enterobacteriaceae
Description: bacterial LSU rRNA
Rfam family: Bacterial large subunit ribosomal RNA
Source: RNAcentral
GGGUUGUGAGGUUAAGCGACUAAGCGUACACGGUGGAUGCCCUGGCAGUCAGAGGCGAUGAAGGACGUGCUAAUCUGCGAUAAGCGUCGGUAAGGUGAUAUGAACCGUUAUAACCGGCGAUUUCCGAAUGGGGAAACCCAGUGUGAUUCGUCACACUAUCAUUAACUGAAUCCAUAGGUUAAUGAGGCGAACCGGGGGAACUGAAACAUCUAAGUACCCCGAGGAAAAGAAAUCAACCGAGAUUCCCCCAGUAGCGGCGAGCGAACGGGGAGCAGCCCAGAGCCUGAAUCAGUGUGUGUGUUAGUGGAAGCGUCUGGAAAGGCGCGCGAUACAGGGUGACAGCCCCGUACACAAAAAUGCACAUGCUGUGAGCUCGAUGAGUAGGGCGGGACACGUGGUAUCCUGUCUGAAUAUGGGGGGACCAUCCUCCAAGGCUAAAUACUCCUGACUGACCGAUAGUGAACCAGUACCGUGAGGGAAAGGCGAAAAGAACCCCGGCGAGGGGAGUGAAAAAGAACCUGAAACCGUGUACGUACAAGCAGUGGGAGCACGCUUAGGCGUGUGACUGCGUACCUUUUGUAUAAUGGGUCAGCGACUUAUAUUCUGUAGCAAGGUUAACCGAAUAGGGGAGCCGAAGGGAAACCGAGUCUUAACUGGGCGUUAAGUUGCAGGGUAUAGACCCGAAACCCGGUGAUCUAGCCAUGGGCAGGUUGAAGGUUGGGUAACACUAACUGGAGGACCGAACCGACUAAUGUUGAAAAAUUAGCGGAUGACUUGUGGCUGGGGGUGAAAGGCCAAUCAAACCGGGAGAUAGCUGGUUCUCCCCGAAAGCUAUUUAGGUAGCGCCUCGUGAAUUCAUCUCCGGGGGUAGAGCACUGUUUCGGCAAGGGGGUCAUCCCGACUUACCAACCCGAUGCAAACUGCGAAUACCGGAGAAUGUUAUCACGGGAGACACACGGCGGGUGCUAACGUCCGUCGUGAAGAGGGAAACAACCCAGACCGCCAGCUAAGGUCCCAAAGUCAUGGUUAAGUGGGAAACGAUGUGGGAAGGCCCAGACAGCCAGGAUGUUGGCUUAGAAGCAGCCAUCAUUUAAAGAAAGCGUAAUAGCUCACUGGUCGAGUCGGCCUGCGCGGAAGAUGUAACGGGGCUAAACCAUGCACCGAAGCUGCGGCAGCGACGCUUAUGCGUUGUUGGGUAGGGGAGCGUUCUGUAAGCCUGUGAAGGUGUACUGUGAGGUAUGCUGGAGGUAUCAGAAGUGCGAAUGCUGACAUAAGUAACGAUAAAGCGGGUGAAAAGCCCGCUCGCCGGAAGACCAAGGGUUCCUGUCCAACGUUAAUCGGGGCAGGGUGAGUCGACCCCUAAGGCGAGGCCGAAAGGCGUAGUCGAUGGGAAACAGGUUAAUAUUCCUGUACUUGGUGUUACUGCGAAGGGGGGACGGAGAAGGCUAUGUUGGCCGGGCGACGGUUGUCCCGGUUUAAGCGUGUAGGCUGGUUUUCCAGGCAAAUCCGGAAAAUCAAGGCUGAGGCGUGAUGACGAGGCACUACGGUGCUGAAGCAACAAAUGCCCUGCUUCCAGGAAAAGCCUCUAAGCAUCAGGUAACAUCAAAUCGUACCCCAAACCGACACAGGUGGUCAGGUAGAGAAUACCAAGGCGCUUGAGAGAACUCGGGUGAAGGAACUAGGCAAAAUGGUGCCGUAACUUCGGGAGAAGGCACGCUGAUAUGUAGGUGAAGCGACUUGCUCGUGGAGCUGAAAUCAGUCGAAGAUACCAGCUGGCUGCAACUGUUUAUUAAAAACACAGCACUGUGCAAACACGAAAGUGGACGUAUACGGUGUGACGCCUGCCCGGUGCCGGAAGGUUAAUUGAUGGGGUUAGCGGUAACGCGAAGCUCUUGAUCGAAGCCCCGGUAAACGGCGGCCGUAACUAUAACGGUCCUAAGGUAGCGAAAUUCCUUGUCGGGUAAGUUCCGACCUGCACGAAUGGCGUAAUGAUGGCCAGGCUGUCUCCACCCGAGACUCAGUGAAAUUGAACUCGCUGUGAAGAUGCAGUGUACCCGCGGCAAGACGGAAAGACCCCGUGAACCUUUACUAUAGCUUGACACUGAACAUUGAGCCUUGAUGUGUAGGAUAGGUGGGAGGCUUAGAAGUGUGGACGCCAGUCUGCAUGGAGCCGACCUUGAAAUACCACCCUUUAAUGUUUGAUGUUCUAACGUUGACCCGUAAUCCGGGUUGCGGACAGUGUCUGGUGGGUAGUUUGACUGGGGCGGUCUCCUCCUAAAGAGUAACGGAGGAGCACGAAGGUUGGCUAAUCCUGGUCGGACAUCAGGAGGUUAGUGCAAUGGCAUAAGCCAGCUUGACUGCGAGCGUGACGGCGCGAGCAGGUGCGAAAGCAGGUCAUAGUGAUCCGGUGGUUCUGAAUGGAAGGGCCAUCGCUCAACGGAUAAAAGGUACUCCGGGGAUAACAGGCUGAUACCGCCCAAGAGUUCAUAUCGACGGCGGUGUUUGGCACCUCGAUGUCGGCUCAUCACAUCCUGGGGCUGAAGUAGGUCCCAAGGGUAUGGCUGUUCGCCAUUUAAAGUGGUACGCGAGCUGGGUUUAGAACGUCGUGAGACAGUUCGGUCCCUAUCUGCCGUGGGCGCUGGAGAACUGAGGGGGGCUGCUCCUAGUACGAGAGGACCGGAGUGGACGCAUCACUGGUGUUCGGGUUGUCAUGCCAAUGGCACUGCCCGGUAGCUAAAUGCGGAAGAGAUAAGUGCUGAAAGCAUCUAAGCACGAAACUUGCCCCGAGAUGAGUUCUCCCUGACCCUUUAAGGGUCCUGAAGGAACGUUGAAGACGACGACGUUGAUAGGCCGGGUGUGUAAGCGCAGCGAUGCGUUGAGCUAACCGGUACUAAUGAACCGUGAGGCUUAACCUUACAACGCCGAAG